Long non-coding RNA from Bradysia coprophila, 142 nucleotides. Lineage: Eukaryota; Metazoa; Arthropoda; Insecta; Diptera; Sciaridae. The record is from RefSeq and is a predicted model, not a curated record.
AACAACAACGUAUCAUUGACCUGCAGCUCAAUCAUUUUAUCUAAAAAGUAUAAGAUUGGGAAAUCAGACCUAAAACAAAAAGACAAUAUUUAAGAAACGAUUAGGUUAACUUCUCAUAAUUCGUUCUCAAUUUCAAUUAAAU